This 84-nucleotide transfer RNA is filed under the name Candidatus Omnitrophota bacterium. Its description in RNAcentral is "tRNA-Leu". It matches the Rfam family "tRNA". Rfam says of the family: Transfer RNA (tRNA) molecules are approximately 80 nucleotides in length. Their secondary structure includes four short double-helical elements and three loops (D, anti-codon, and T loops). RNAcentral also lists the same sequence under 1 other name. The record is from RNAcentral. Lineage: Bacteria; Pseudomonadati; Candidatus Omnitrophota.
GCGCGAGUGGCGGAAUUGGUAGACGCGCUACUUUGAGGGGGUAGUGGCCGAAAGGCCGUGGUGGUUCAAGUCCACUCUCGCGCA